AAGUGGCCUCCCUUGCCUUGGAUAGGUGCCCCCUUAUACAGAAGUGACCAAGGGCAGUUUUGUAAUUUUUUUAGAAUCUUGAACAGUGUCUGCCACUUACUUUUUCACGUGGGAACAGUACUUGAACAGUGUCUUUAACAGUCCUUCCGCAUGAAGCAUCUAUUGCAGGGUGCAGAUUCCAUUGGCUCAUUUCCUCCAAAUAUGGAACUUAUCUUGCAUUGUUUUAUAUUCAGGAACCCUCUUCUCUAUGCCCCACACUCCAAAUCUAUAUGAGAAUAAAAAGCCUUUUAAUCAUCUUCUCCAUUCUGAUAUAACAAAAAAAGGGCAGCUUUUAAGAUCUUGUCCAAAACCUUCCAAAAAAUGAUAGGAGUCGUCUGGCUUGCAAAACUUGCAUUAUCUUAUCCCAUAGGAUUGCAAAUCUUUCAAGAUCCUUCAAGAAGAAUUUUGAAGAUGAAAUUCACAAUACUUCCAAACAAAUUCAAAAUACAUGGACAGAGAAUCUGAAAAGUAGCAAAGAUUGGCCAGUGGAGAGUGUCAAAUCACAAAGCUUGCUCCUCAAGCUAGUGUAAUUUAUGCAAAACCACCAAAUGACAAGUUCAAUCAUAUGAUCGAAUAACAAAAAAAGACAAGUAGGUUUUAAAGAUGUAGGAAAUAACCAGACUUGUCUUUUUAAAUAAGGAAUGACAAUAGUAGGAGCUCAGUGAUCAGAUUCUUAGUGUCUCCUUUUUGUCUUCCACACUGUUUCACUAGCUACUAGCUAGUACAAAUGACAUACAUAAAUAAAAGGUACCUUUUGAGACAUUAAAUGGUCGGUGGGCUUGUAUAUUCACAAGACGUGGAUUCUGUUUCAAAAAUCCAAUAUCAGUUAUCAUGCCUUGCAUAGCAGCCUCUGUAACCAAUGCCAUACAUUUUUCUGGUUGGUUUGGUAAGACGCAAGAUCCCCAAACUUGAUUAUGUGUAUUUUUGGAAGUACAAUUCAUGGAGGAGCCAGAUAAAUACAUAGAAAACAGAUCUCAAUUUCAAAUAGACCUUGAUUAUGCAAAAAUACAUUAAUGGGAUCAGAACGGUCAAUUCAAUCAAAAAGUAAUGUCACAACAUCAUAAUGAUAAAUCAAAGGCUGAAGAACUGCCGACCCUGUCUAAGUCUUCUACCAAUCUUCUCUUUGCUGACUUAGUUCUGUAACACCAAACCUCAAAAGCUUCACUCAAGUCAGGAUACGUAACCUGGUCCGCAUUCAUCCAAUCAGCCAAAAUAUCGGCUUGGUCAUUUGAUGGCAAUGCUAAUAUCAAUGAGACAAUUGCCCCUUCAAUACUCUGGCACAAGUAUUCAUCCAUCUUGUAGGGAAAGCUUGAGUCCCCAUUACACUUUGAGUCUAAGAGAGGUUUCAUCUUCCUUAUAUAAGGCAGCCACAUACUUAGUAGCUGCACCCUGUAAGUUGGCGCAAGAAUCACAUUUCCAUAGCCAACUGCUUCCAAUACCUUUGCAGUCACUUCAAUCAUCUUUAAUUUCAAACCCCACAUUACAUAAUCAAGUUUCUUGUCUUCAAUUAUCCCCAAAACUUUGCCAGAGAUGUCAGCCCAGUUUAUAACAAAAUCCUUCAUUAAAUCCAACUUGGGAAGUAUGUUACACAUCCACUGAAGAUCAGCUACACUCUGUAAUAUUUUGGCUUCUGCUGUCUCAGAUAUGAGGUCAGAUUCCAAAAGCAGGGAGGACAGCUGCUUUUCAAAUGAAGAAAAGACUUUGCUAAGGCCUACUUUCACUACUGAUUUUACUUCAUCAUCAGCUCUAACCAGGGGCAUGUCCUCAUCUUCCCCUAACAUAUAUUCAACUUGUUCCUGGGCAGAAAUUUUAAGUUCAUCACCAAAUGGAGGACAUGAUCCACCAAUAGAUGUGGCAAAACGAACUGCUGAAACAAAAACAUUUUUUGUAGCGCUUAAAUCUACUUGUUGGAUCCUGGCUAUAAUGGGCAUAGCUAUUGGACCCAGUUUUGAGACCAUUUUCAAGAUUUCUUCCUCUUCCUUGUCCUCCCAAGGAACGGCCUCUAGGUACUGGAUGCAGCUUUUUGUGAUCUCUUCACAGCUGAAUGCAACUGAAACUUCAAGUAUACCAACAGUGGACUUGACAGAGUCCAAAGAGUCCAAAAGCGAAUCCACAGGGAGAUACAGCAAUCUCAAUAAGUUAACAUGAUGAUCAUAAUUAAAAGCUGAGCAAUGAAGCUCCACACAUGUACCAGAGUCCGGAUUAGAGAGCAAAUCAGCAAAGAACUUGCUCUUAUUAACUAGUACAGAAGAGUGUAAAUAGAAAAUUUCAGGUCUUCCAUUACAAUUUCUCAAGCGUAUGAUUAUAUCACUAGUGCUCUGGUCUCCAAAUCUGCAAGGUUUUUCUACUCCAGUUUUGUCCAUGUGUGAGUAGGAAUACAAAAUUCAUGCUUCAUGCAUUUAAAUGGAUAAAAAAUCCAAAUUGUGGCAACUGAAAAGAAAAUGAAGAUCAUAGUGAACAAAUAAUUAGAUUGAGAUAGCAUUAUACAUAUUCCAAAUGAGAAGGACAACUACAAAUCAUUCAAAAACAUGGAUUUGAAAUGAGCAAAAAUAUUAGAAAUUAAAAAGAUAACAUCAGAGAAUGCAAUUUUUUCCUCAACAAAAGCUUAUACUAAGACCAGAAAAUCAGUACUAAUAAGCAUAAAAGCACCAAAUUUCUAUAUCAGCAGUGGUACAAACAACUGUCUAGAUUAUUCUAAUGAUACUAUUUCCCAUAUUAGCCAAAUGUAUAAAUGCAUAUCCAAAAAGAAUAUUGCAUCAAUAAAGAAGACCUUAAAGCUUAUUACAAAUCAUACAGAACAGAUUACCAGAAAAUACUACUACCCACGAUCAGAUCUUGGAUAGUUAGCAUACUGGAACACCCAAAUCAACUUCAGGCCAAUAAAUAUAAUUAGCAGCGACAAGAAGAAAAUCAAAGAUAAUAAAAAAGAACAGCAGAAAAAAUUGCAUAAACUUAAGAAUUAUACAGAGAGGAAUAGGGUUUACAUAAAUGGGAGAUUUCCAAUUGGAGACUAGCGUGGGAUGCUGUAGUUUCGACAUUGCAAAACAGGGAAUUCUUCUCCAAGUAGAUACUGGCAACACAUUAGGGCUAUGAAAUUAUCGAUGAAGGUUU
This 3150-nucleotide unclassified non-coding RNA is filed under the name Hevea brasiliensis (rubber tree). The record is from RNAcentral. Lineage: Eukaryota; Viridiplantae; Streptophyta; Magnoliopsida; Malpighiales; Euphorbiaceae.